This 253-nucleotide ribosomal RNA is filed under the name uncultured bacterium. RNAcentral describes it as "partial 16S ribosomal RNA". It matches the Rfam family "Bacterial small subunit ribosomal RNA", at positions 524 to 776 of the family's 1533-position model. The record is from RNAcentral.
UACGUUGGGUGCGAGCGUUGUCCGGAAUUAUUGGGCGUAAAGGGCUCGUAGGCGGUCUGUCGCGUCGAAAGUGAAAACUCAGGGCUUAACCCUGAGCCUGCUUCCGAUACGGGCAGACUAGAGGUAUGCAGGGGAGAACGGAAUUCCUGGUGUAGCGGUGAAAUGCGCAGAUAUCAGGAGGAACACCGGUGGCGAAGGCGGUUCUCUGGGCAUUACCUGACGCUGAGGAGCGAAAGUGUGGGGAGCGAACAGG